RNAcentral lists this long non-coding RNA (835 nucleotides) under Hordeum vulgare. RNAcentral describes it as "long non-coding RNA (HVUL_LNC015063)". Lineage: Eukaryota; Viridiplantae; Streptophyta; Magnoliopsida; Poales; Poaceae. The record is from RNAcentral.
CAACCAACAAUUCUUGUCGUGGGAGUAACAUGUUGAUGAUUAACUAGCCUCAUUAGCAUAUUAGAAUGGAAAACUUACUCUAGUGGAGUGCCUUGCAGUAGCAACACUGCAAGUGCUUUAAUCUAUAUCAUUUCUCUGACUGAUUGCAUCAGUCUUUUUUCUGUUAAGAAGACGUGUGUGUUCUUCCUUUAUCUUGUAACUGAAGUAAAUAGGGUAACGUAGAUACUUGUUGUUAUGGCUCAGAAGCUUGCAUGGCCCAUCAAUGGCUAUAGUGGGUACUAGUGGUCAUGAGGUUCUUGCUUGAGAGCACUUGCAAUAUUCUUCAACUUUAGAAAAGUCUGGUGAGGGAACAUGAGAAAUUCAUAAGAGACAUAAGGAGGAAAACAAGGAGAUGAUGGCAUCCUUUUAUGCAGAUCAUCCUUUCAUGAUAUAUAUGGGAUUACUCCUAACAUGAUAUAUGGGAUUACUCCUAAUACAUCACCUAAUACGAAUCUCUGUUAUUCAACCUUCAACAUUACAGACACAUACAAAACAAAACGUAAACAGGUUUAUGUGAACAAGUUCCUUGAAGUUUUGCUUGAGAAAACAAAAUGUUGGGAUUCGUUUGUUCUCCUUCAUAGGAGCAACAAGUACACUACCAAAUAAACAGGGUUAACCAGAGCAGUUUUAAAACAGCAAAUCUCUCUGCCUAGCAGAAUCUCCAGGCCAUACAAGCCGCCCAGCUGGUUUUGAAUCUGUUACAUAUUAUCAUGCGUUUUGAGACUUUCAAACAAAAGAAUUUUAACAGUUUAACUAUUGAUUUGGUUGGGGUGCGCCGGGCCAGGGCAGCAGUGCA